GAGUUUGAUCGUGGCUCAGGAUGAACGCUGGCGGCGUGCUUAACACAUGCAAGUCGAACGGAGAUCAUUUUAAUGAGGCUUCGGCGGAUUUGAUCUGAUCUUAGUGGCGGACGGGUGAGUAACGCGUGGGUAACCUGCCUUAUACAGGGGGAUAACAGCCGGAAACGGCUGCUAAUACCGCAUAAGCGCACAGAGGCGCAUGCUUCAGUGUGAAAAACUCCGGUGGUAUAAGAUGGACCCCGCGUUGGAUUAGCUAGUUGGCAGGGCAGCGGCCUACCAAGGCGACGAUCCAUAGCCGGCCUGAGAGGG
This 309-nucleotide ribosomal RNA is filed under the name uncultured bacterium. RNAcentral's name for it is "bacterial SSU rRNA". It matches the Rfam family "Bacterial small subunit ribosomal RNA", at positions 9 to 300 of the family's 1533-position model. The record is from RNAcentral.